CUUUGAUCAUGGCUACUUCGUUUUAGUAUUUUAUGGCAAAUGCAGAAAGCUUUUUGAUUUGAGGAAGGUUUCAGUUGAUUUCAGUUUGUUGGUCGUAGCUCUAGAGGUCCUAUCCACUGAAAAUGGGUUUUCCCAAGGAACCUAAAACAAUGGGCUACUACUCCGAAUCGGGUUAUACCCGAACCUUUUUAACCCACUGGGUCCAUAUAUUCAAGAGUCGAGGCCCUUCUCUUUCCCUCCCUAUCACUCUUCCUGCCCGUGUGUCUCGGAGCCACGCGCCUUAACUCUUCACUCGCGUGGUGAUAGUUCAACUAAAGUUGGAGUAAUGGAAUUGGGUUCUUAAUUUUGUUCAUGAAACACAACCAACGGCAAAAAAAAAAAAGUUGCAGUGGCAAUGACUAAGCAAAUAUUAAGAAUCAGGUUUGUCAUAAAUGGAGUACCAUAGCAACAUGAUUCAUGUAGCUGACCUCAUAUAGUGGGACUUGCUUAAGAAUAAGAAAGAGGAAGCUCAUACAUGCAGUUAUAUUUCAUCUUCUAGCUCGGAUGGUUGUCGUUAUUGUUUUUGUUCCUUGUUAUAUAAGAUUAAUUUGUGCUGGAUAAACCACUGAGAAGAAUGUGUGGUGGUAAACAGGCUCAGGAUGACCUGUUGGGAAGCAAGGCUUUGGACCAAAACUCUGAAGCCUUCACAAGGAGGAUAGAUGCUCUUCUAGUUGAGAUUGAAGAGUGCAUGCAUGAGCUGGAAGAAGCACUUGAUGGUCUUGAAGAAGUUAUUGCACUAAUUAACAAGAUUAACUGUUUCUUUGGUGCGAUUCUGGUAAUUUUAUGUCUGUUUCAAUUGCUUAAAUCUGUGGGGUUACUCUGAGCAUACCCAACUAUAGGGUUUGUGGUCUGCUUAUGAAUGUCACCUAGCUUGUUCUUAUGUUUACAGGUAUAGUUUACUGACCAUUUGUGGUCUUCUUUUGCCUAUGUUUGUAAAUAUAGCUGACUGACCAUUUCUGGUUUUAUUUUACCUAUGAGGGUAUGAAUAAUGUAUAGUGUUUUUCUUUUUUGGCUUCUUUUGUGGCUUCCAUAUCUUCACUUCGUUUCCAUUUUUUCUUUUUCUUUUUUUAAAUGAGGUGCUGCUUCUUGUCAUUUAUUUUCUCAACUUAUGGAUUCAAGUAGAGGCAAAUGGUUUCGGAAGGUAGAAGAGAUUGGAAAUUGUAAGCAGACCUCCUUAUGUGCAAAUUGCAACCUGCUUACUGAGGAAACACCAUAGAUUGUUUAUCCUAUCAGGAAUUGCCCCUAAAAUCACAAAUGCCGUGUGCUUUCACAGUGGCUCAAGCCGUUCUCCACUGUCAUAGCAUGAUCUCUCUGAUGAUUGGUUGCCGCUUAGUUCAUGGCAGAUUUACUUGAAAGUUGGCCUAAUAUAGCAACCCUCGUCUCUGCCAUGCCUCUGAUACGUCUUCUUAAGAAAAUCUAAUCCAGUGUCCGCCUAGAAAAGCUCCUUCUUGUCUGUUGUUUCACCUCAAGGCAGUUAAAUACAGAUGACCGCAAUGAAAAAGAAACAGCCGAGGAUCAACAAAGAAUUGCUAGAGUUUCCGAGGGGAUCCAACAAAUUGCCAAGUUGAGUUUUCUUAGGUCCUAUAUACUUUUCUAUUUUGAUAAGUUCCUCAGUCUUUCUAUUAUGUUGGUAACGACUCUUGUUCCAUCAUAUAUUCUGGUUUGGAAGGCAUAACAGUUGUUUAAUGUGCUCUUAAAAUAUCUGGAACAACAAAUUCUGCUCCAUGCCACCAGCAACUGCUUAGUUGAACACUAAUUUUUGCAACCGCCAAUGUGCAAAACUUGCUCUUAACCGUAGUUACAGACUUACUGGGGUUUCUAAGGUCUCUUUCAUGUAAUGGCUCUUUUUUAGUUUCUUUUCA
Molecule: long non-coding RNA, 1901 nt
Organism: Theobroma umbraticum
Lineage: Eukaryota; Viridiplantae; Streptophyta; Magnoliopsida; Malvales; Malvaceae
Source: RefSeq, a predicted model, not a curated record